GCGGACGGGGUGCAGGCAGGCGGGGUGGUACGGGGGGUCUGGGCGUUGUCCGGAAUUCGGGGGCGUGAAGGGCGCGGAGGCGGUUGGACACGUCGGGAGUGAAAAGGCGGGGCUUACCCCCGGGCCUGCUUCCGAUACGGGCAGACUAGAGGUAGGCAGGGGAGAGCGGAACGCCUGGUGUAGCGGUGGAAUGCGCAGAUAUCAGGAAGAACACCGGUGGCGAAGGCGGCUCUCUGGGCCUUACCUGACGCUGAGGAGCGAAAGCGUGGGUAGCGAACAGGAUUAGAUACCCUUGUAGUC
This 300-nucleotide ribosomal RNA is filed under the name uncultured Thermoanaerobacter sp. RNAcentral's name for it is "bacterial SSU rRNA". It matches the Rfam family "Bacterial small subunit ribosomal RNA", at positions 496 to 795 of the family's 1533-position model. Lineage: Bacteria; Bacillati; Bacillota; Clostridia; Thermoanaerobacterales; Thermoanaerobacteraceae. The record is from RNAcentral.